RNAcentral lists this ribosomal RNA (404 nucleotides) under uncultured bacterium. RNAcentral describes it as "partial 16S ribosomal RNA". It matches the Rfam family "Bacterial small subunit ribosomal RNA", at positions 107 to 507 of the family's 1533-position model. The record is from RNAcentral.
UGAGUAACAAGUAUUCAACCUGCCGAUGACUUGGGGAUAGCCUUUUGAAAGAAAGAAUUAUAACCGAAGGCAUAGGUUUUUUGCCAUGGUAGAAAUAUUUAAGAAAUUUGGUCAUCGAUAGGCAUGCGUUUCCUUAGGCAGUUGGCGGGGUAACGGCCCCCCCCCAACCCGAGGAUGGAUAGGGGUUUGAGAGGAAGGUCCCCCACAUUGGUACUGAGACACGGACCAAACUCCUACGGGAGGCAGCAGUGAGGAAUAUUGGUCAAUGGGCGCGAGCCUGAACCAGCCAAGUCGCGUGAGGGAUGAAGGUUUUAUGGAUUGUAAACCUUUUUUAUAAGGGAAUAAAGUGCGGGACGUGUCCCGUUUUGCAUGUUCCAUGUGAAUAAGGACCGGCUAAUUCCGUG